RNAcentral lists this ribosomal RNA (472 nucleotides) under uncultured bacterium. RNAcentral's name for it is "partial 16S ribosomal RNA". It matches the Rfam family "Bacterial small subunit ribosomal RNA", at positions 28 to 507 of the family's 1533-position model. The record is from RNAcentral.
GACGAACGCUGGCGGCGUGCUUAACACAUGCAAGUCGAACGCUGAAGCUUGGUGCUUGCACUGGGUGGAUGAGUGGCGAACGGGUGAGUAAUACGUGAGUAACCUGCCCUUGACUCUGGGAUAAGCCUGGGAAACUGGGUCUAAUACUGGAUACGACAUGUCACCGCAUGGUGGUGUGUGGAAAGGGUUUUACUGGUUUUGGAUGGGCUCACGGCCUAUCAGCUUGUUGGUGGGGUAAUGGCUCACCAAGGCGACGACGGGUAGCCGGCCUGAGAGGGUGACCGGCCACAAUGGGACUGAGACACGGCCCAGACUCCUACGGGAGGCAGCAGUGGGGAAUAUUGCACAAUGGGCGGAAGCCUGAUGCAGCGACGCCGCGUGAGGGAUGACGGCCUUCGGGUUGUAAACCUCUUUCAGCACGGAAGAAGCGAAAGUGACGGUACGUGCAGAAGAAGCGCCGGCUAACUACGUG